RNAcentral lists this ribosomal RNA (506 nucleotides) under uncultured bacterium. RNAcentral's name for it is "partial 16S ribosomal RNA". It matches the Rfam family "Bacterial small subunit ribosomal RNA", at positions 29 to 523 of the family's 1533-position model. The record is from RNAcentral.
AGUGAACGCUGGCGAUAGGCCUAACACAUGCAAGUCGAACGGCAGCACAGGAGAGCUUGCUCUCUGGGUGGCGAGUGGCAGACGGGUGAGGAAUACAUCGGAAUCUACUCUGUCGUGGGGGAUAACGUAGGGAAACUUACGCUAAUACCGCAUACGACCUACGGGUGAAAGCAGGGGACCUUCGGGCCUUGCGCGAUUGAAUGAGCCGAUGUCGGAUUAGCUAGUUGGCGGGGUAAAGGCCCACCAAGGCGACGAUCCGUAGCUGGUCUGAGAGGAUGAUCAGCCACACUGGAACUGAGACACGGUCCAGACUCCUACGGGAGGCAGCAGUGGGGAAUAUUGGACAAUGGGCGCAAGCCUGAUCCAGCCAUACCGCGUGGGUGAAGAAGGCCUUCGGGUUGUAAAGCCCUUUUGUUGGGAAAGAAAUCCAGCUGGCUAAUACCCGGUUGGGAUGACGGUACCCAAAGAAUAAGCACCGGCUAACUUCGUGCCAGCCGCCGCGGUAA